UAAUGUAUGGGGAUCUGCCCGAUAGAGGGGGAUAACUACUGGAAACGGUGGCUAAUACCGCAUAAUGUCUACGGACCAAAGCAGGGGCUCUUCGGACCUUGCACUAUCGGAUGAACCCAUAUGGGAUUAGCUAGUAGGUGGGGUAAAGGCUCACCUAGGCGACGAUCUCUAGCUGGUCUGAGAGGAUGAUCAGUCACACUGGGACUGAGACACGGCCCAG
RNAcentral lists this ribosomal RNA (220 nucleotides) under uncultured bacterium. RNAcentral describes it as "partial 16S ribosomal RNA". It matches the Rfam family "Bacterial small subunit ribosomal RNA", at positions 111 to 334 of the family's 1533-position model. The record is from RNAcentral.